AUAGAUGGCGAGGAUUAUGGAUUAUGGGUUAUAGAACUGUUAUCUAUUUACAUGGGAGGCUGGGGAAAGACGCGUCGAGGGCGAAUACAGCAAAAAAGUGCAGGGUGGGGUCACGUCAAGGCCGUGUGAAGCCGUUUAAUCCAGCGGACGAGCAACAGAGAAGCAGAAGAUAGAGGGAGAUUAGAUUGUUGGAGAUUGACGACGGACCAGCCAGUCUAUUCAACAUCCCUCGCCGCAGCCGCUGUCAUACGCUGCGGGUCGGAGCGGGUAGCUGGAGCUGAUGGCUUGCGCCAAUAAACCCGGUUACUGUUCACAAUCGGCCCA
This 324-nucleotide small nucleolar RNA is filed under the name Trichophyton rubrum BMU01672. Its description in RNAcentral is "HACA-box snoRNA". Lineage: Eukaryota; Fungi; Ascomycota; Eurotiomycetes; Onygenales; Arthrodermataceae. The record is from RNAcentral.